UUGAGGAGCAUUGUAAAUAAUAAACCUUUGCCUCAUGUGUUAUUAUCAAGAUUGCCAUUACUUAUGUGUCAUCAUGAGAGCUCUUCUCAUAGCAUUUAGUGAAUAACCCUUGCUUGCCUAGACUAAUUACAUAUAUUGCCAUUGGACAUUUAAGUUUCAUGUUUAUGCAUAAUAUAAUUGGUGUUGAUGGAUUAUACAUAUAUCUCUUAUUUUUAUGCGAGUUUUAAAAAUGUAUUUAUUGCUUUCAUGCUUAUAUCUUCUCAUUCUUUCUUGGCUGUAUUUUUUUUUGCAACCUAACAAUAGUAGUCAACUGUAUUGUUAUCAUUAUCGCAUUGUAAACAAGUUUUUAUUUCAUAUAUUUUUUAUUGGAUGAUUUUCAUUCUACAAAAUAUAAUAUUGGUGUAUGA
This 407-nucleotide long non-coding RNA is filed under the name Brassica napus (rape). RNAcentral's name for it is "long non-coding RNA (BNAP_LNC025919)". Lineage: Eukaryota; Viridiplantae; Streptophyta; Magnoliopsida; Brassicales; Brassicaceae. The record is from RNAcentral.